This 433-nucleotide ribosomal RNA is filed under the name uncultured bacterium. Its description in RNAcentral is "bacterial SSU rRNA". It matches the Rfam family "Bacterial small subunit ribosomal RNA", at positions 29 to 507 of the family's 1533-position model. The record is from RNAcentral.
AACGAACGCUGGCGGCAGGCUUAACACAUGCAAGUCGAACGCCCUCUUCGGAGGGAGUGGCAGACGGGUGAGUAACGCGUGGGAACCUACCUAGUAGUACGGAAUAACUCAGGGAAACUUGUGCUAAUACCGUAUACGCCCCUCGGGGAAAGAUUUAUCGCUAUUAGAUGGGCCCGCGUUGGAUUAGUUUGUUGGUGAGGUAACGGCUCACCAAGGCUACGAUCCAUAGCUGGUCUGAGAGGAUGAUCAGCCACACUGGGACUGAGACACGGCCCAGACUCCUACGGGAGGCAGCAGUGGGGAAUAUUGGACAAUGGGGGAAAACCCUGAUCCAGCCAUGCCGCGUGAGUGAAGAAGGCCCUAGGGUUGUAAAGCUCUUUCGCUAGGGAAGAUAAUGACGGUACCUAGUAAAGAAGCCCCGGCUAACUUCGUG